AUGGUGGGCGUCAAUGCCAACGUGAGAAAGGGCCUUGCAUCCCUCGUCAUGUUAAGUCUCCCGGGGGAUUUGCACAAGCGGAAUGCGCGGGUGUUUAGAAAUGUGUCAUCCUUGCCAACUAUAAUCACAUCUAAGAUUAAGACCGAUGUUGGGUUAUGGGGGUUGGCGGGGGCUAAGCGUCUGUGUUCUUUAAUGCCACAGAAGUAG
RNAcentral lists this ribosomal RNA (207 nucleotides) under Triticum aestivum (bread wheat). Its description in RNAcentral is "partial small subunit ribosomal RNA". The record is from RNAcentral. Lineage: Eukaryota; Viridiplantae; Streptophyta; Magnoliopsida; Poales; Poaceae.